Molecule: ribosomal RNA, 569 nt
Filed under: Pseudeurotium sp. 15PA01
Lineage: Eukaryota; Fungi; Ascomycota; Leotiomycetes; Thelebolales; Pseudeurotiaceae
Description: eukaryotic LSU rRNA
Rfam family: 5.8S ribosomal RNA (bases 221-374)
Source: RNAcentral
UAGAGGAAGUAAAAGUCGUAACAAGGUUUCCGUAGGUGAACCUGCGGAAGGAUCAUUAAAGAGACGUUGCCCUUCGGGGUCGACCUCCCACCCUAUGUUUAUCAUACCUCUGUUGCUUUGGCAGGCCCGUCCUCGGACCACCGGCUCCGGCCGGUCCGUGCCUGCCAGGGGACCUAAAACUCUGUUUGUUAAUGCAGUCUGAGUACUAUAUAAUAGUUAAAACUUUCAACAACGGAUCUCUUGGUUCUGGCAUCGAUGAAGAACGCAGCGAAAUGCGAUAAGUAAUGUGAAUUGCAGAAUUCAGUGAAUCAUCGAAUCUUUGAACGCACAUUGCGCCCCCUGGUAUUCCGGGGGGCAUGCCUGUUCGAGCGUCAUUACAACCCUCAAGCUCUGCUUGGUAUUGGGCCCCGCCGGUUCCGGCGGACCCUAAAGUCAGUGGCGGUGCCUUCCGGCUCCGAGCGUAGUAAUUCUUCUCGCUCUGGAGACCCGGCUGUGUGCUUGCCAGCAACCCCCAAUUUUUUAAGGUUGACCUCGGAUCAGGUAGGGAUACCCGCUGAACUUAAGCAUAU